GCCCGUAUAGUAUAGUGGUUAUUAUUUCUCACUCGUACUCUAGCUUCGGCGGGUUGAUGAGAGGGUCCCUAGUUCAAAUCUGGGUGCGGGCA
Molecule: non-coding RNA, 92 nt
Organism: Malassezia sp. CBS 17886
Lineage: Eukaryota; Fungi; Basidiomycota; Malasseziomycetes; Malasseziales; Malasseziaceae
Source: the annotation of a GenBank genome assembly